GCUAGGUGUGGUGGUGCAUGCCUGUACUCCUGGUGACUCAGGAGGCUGAGGCAGGAGGAUUGCCAGUUUGAGGCCAGCCUCAGCAACUUAGUGAGACCCUGUCUCAA
RNAcentral lists this small RNA (107 nucleotides) under Marmota monax (woodchuck). Lineage: Eukaryota; Metazoa; Chordata; Mammalia; Rodentia; Sciuridae. The record is from RNAcentral.